UACGUAGGGUGCAAGCGUUGUCCGGAAUUAUUGGGCGUAAAGAGCUCGUAGGCGGUCUGUCGCGUCUGCUGUGAGAACUCGGGGCUUAACCCCGGGCCUGCAGUGGGUACGGGCAGACUAGAGUGCGGUAGGGGAGUCUGGAAUUCCUGGUGUAGCGGUGAAAUGCGCAGAUAUCAGGAGGAACAUCAGUGGCGAAGGCGGCCUGCUGGGCUGUUGCUGACGCUGAGGCGCGACAGCGUGGGGAGCAAACAGG
RNAcentral lists this ribosomal RNA (253 nucleotides) under uncultured bacterium. RNAcentral describes it as "partial 16S ribosomal RNA". It matches the Rfam family "Bacterial small subunit ribosomal RNA", at positions 524 to 776 of the family's 1533-position model. The record is from RNAcentral.